Molecule: ribosomal RNA, 390 nt
Filed under: uncultured bacterium
Lineage: Bacteria
Description: bacterial SSU rRNA
Rfam family: Bacterial small subunit ribosomal RNA
Source: RNAcentral
GAUCAACGCUGGCGGCGUGCAUGAGACAUGCAAGUCGAACGGAUGACUCGGGCUUGCUCGAGUCGUUAGUGGCGGACGGCUGAGUAACGCGUGGGUGACCUGCCCCGAAGUGGGGAAUAACUGCCCGAAAGGGUGGCUAAUACCGCAUGUGGUGGUGCGUUCAAUUGCACCAGUAAAGCCGCAAGGCGCUUCGGGAGGGGCCUGCGUCCGAUUAGCUCGUUGGUGGGGAACGGCUCACCAAGGCGACGAUCGGUAGGUGGUCUGAGAGGACGAUCACCCAGACUGGGACUGAGACACGGCCCAGACUCCUACGGGAGGCAGCAGUCGGGAAUUUUGCUCAAUGGGGGAAACCCUGAAGCAGCAACGCCGCGUGAGGGAUGAAGGCCUCGG